AGAGGCUGGGCAGAAGGCGGCGUUUCCCGGAGGAAGCAGUGGUUCUGUGCCAGCCUCUGCUGCAGGAAGAGAGGCGAUGCCAGGCACAGUCCCAGGAGCUGAGGUUGCUCGGAAGGCUUCUCCAUUAGCUUGACUGCAUAAAGUUUUGAAGCCCUUGGGUCUCCUGCAGAUGUGUCUGCAGGGAGGACUUUUCCUGUUCCUUUGCUGAUUCCUAUACGGAAGCCCAGCUCCCAUGGCAGGGGUCCUCUGAGGGGGAAGAGCAAAGGCAAAGGACAGAGGAAACCCCACGAGCCAAACAACAUCCUGAAACAAAUCGUGACAGAACUGCACAAAGGGCAUGGUGAGAGCAUUUCCAUUUCCUUCUGCCUUCCCCUGGGACUCAGCAGCCGGGGACUUUGGCUGCACAUCUGGACACGCCGUGCCCGGCACAGCGGGAA
Molecule: long non-coding RNA, 437 nt
Organism: Passer domesticus (house sparrow)
Lineage: Eukaryota; Metazoa; Chordata; Aves; Passeriformes; Passeridae
Exons: 4
Source: RefSeq, a predicted model, not a curated record